AAGUCGUAACAAGGUUUCCGUAGGUGAACCUGCGGAAGGAUCAUUACAUUCAGUAGCCUCGCUACUUGUUUAUACCCUUGUUUUUUGCGUACUAUUGUUUCCUCGGCGGGCUUGCCUGCCGGUUGGACAAAACUAUAACCUUUUUAAAUCUUCAAUCAGCGUCUGAAUUAUACAUAAUAAUUACAACUUUCAACAACGGAUCUCUUGGUUCUG
This 213-nucleotide unclassified non-coding RNA is filed under the name fungal sp. RNAcentral describes it as "partial internal transcribed spacer region". The stretch from base 1 to 46 matches the Rfam family "Eukaryotic small subunit ribosomal RNA", at positions 1786 to 1831 of the family's 1831-position model. Lineage: Eukaryota; Fungi. The record is from RNAcentral. RNAcentral also lists the same sequence under 4 other names.